GCAGCCACCCUCAGAGGGCCUGUCCUGGGCUGGGCAGGUGGUCUGCCCUCCUUGGGAAAAAGGGAAAUGAAAACUCAGAGGGAAGUGCCCUCCCCAGGCGGGCAUGGCAAGCGGAGGGCAGAAAGUCACCUUGGGGGCAGCAGGCACUGGGCUGGUCUUGGUUCUAGAAGCUCAAGGGCUCCUGGGAGGAGCACUGGGCCCCCUGCCCGCUUGCUGCCAGAACCCGAGACACGAGUAGAAACACAUCAGGGCGUCUUGGAGCAGCACCCCGGUCCCCCGUCUUUACUGCUCGUGGCUUCCCGGUCCAGCUUAGGGACGGGCUCCUCCAGAGCAGCCAACCAAGGCCUAGGGGGCUGGGCUACCCCCAGCUCUGCCCCGCAGUUCACAUGGGGUGAGACCCUGGCAGAGCUGACAGGGGCGUGACAGCAUCAUGGCCCAGGUGCCUCAGGGGCCCUGUUUGCUCUUAGGGGACACGGCUGUCCCUCUGUAAGGAAAACCUCCUUCUGAGCUGUCCCCGAGCUCAGGAGGUGGCGGGGCCAUGGCCAGGGCCCACGGGCCAGGCACCACUGGAGAUGCCCCAGAGAAGGACCGCAGGGAGCCAGCAGGGAGGUGCUGCAGCCGAGCCACUGCCAGCCGGGAGCCUUGGGCACAGCGCCUGCAUCUCCACCAGUGCUGGGUCUGGCCAGCAGGCACCACAGCCCUGGGGGUGAGCAGGGGCAGGACCCCCGUGCAGGGCGGCACCAGGGCCAAUGAUGUCCCAGCUGUCACACACGAUCACUCGACCUCACGCCCACUCGUGUUUCCAGCGCCCAGAGGAGGAAGCUGACCCAGGGCUCAGCUGCAGAAAGCAGAAGAGGGCCUGGGGCUCUGCCCCCAAACCUCACCCCGUCCGGUGGCCCCCGAUUCCUACUUCCUCUGAGUGUGAUGCUCACUCUCCAUGGCCUUUUCUGAGCAGGUCAGGGACAGGACAGGGUGGUGGGCUGCUCUGUGACUGUGCUUGCACGCCUGUGCACACACGGGCGCAGACCUGGGCACAGGUGGGCACAGAAUCCCGCGUUCCGACUUAGUCCUACUUGGUCACUGUGACGGGCUUGAAAGCAAAUGUUUUGUCCUGGUGCCACACGGAGGAGGAAGCUGAGGUUUGAGUGCUUCAGUGACUCAGACGAAACCCAGCAAAUCAGCUGGUGUUGGCUGGUGUGACUCGCGGUCAGGUGCCCGGGAGCCCAGGGACUGUGCUCUUGACCCUGGGGGCUGGGGGGACAGCUCCUGCCAGGAGGAGGGCGUCUCGUGUUGGUCUGCGUGACUGCGGUGGGGCAGGGGCCACGGGGGCCGAGAUGAGCAGGGGGAGAGUGACCACGGGGAGAGGAGACCACAGGGAGAGGUGGCCAUGGGGGCAAGUGACCACAGAGGGAGAGGUGAACUGGGGGAGAGGUGACUUCUGGAAAGAGUGGUCACAGGGGGAGAGUGACCACGAGAAGGGGUGACCUCAGGGGGAGAGGUGACCUCAGCGGGGAAGUGACCACAGAGGGAGAAGAGGCCACAGGGGGAGAAUGACCAGGGGAAGACAUGGCCUCAAGGAGAGGUGACCACAGGCAGAGGUGACCUCAAAGGGCGAGGUGACCUGAGAGGGAGAAGCAACCAUGGAGAGAGGUGACCACAGGGGUAAAAGUCGCCACAGGAGAAGUGACCAGAGGGAAAGGUGACCACGGGGAGAGGUGACCAUGGGGAGAGAGGUGACCUUGGGGGAGAGGCCCCUGUCCCUGAGAAGGACACCAGGGGAGCAGCACCCGCCCUGCCGAGCAGGAGAGCAGGCUGCCACUGGAAAAGGGCACGGGGGGGGGGCUGUGCUCAGGAGCCCCGUUUCCUCUGGACCUGGAGGCUGGCCUGGGGGCCCCUGCUGCUGUGCCAGGGGUGCCCCCUCGGCAGAGCACCUGCUCCGCCCCCAACACCGUGCCCAUCAUCAGGACACUGUGGUUCUGGGGCUCCGGGGGCUCUGGACAGCUCCAGCUGCUGACGGCCCCCGUGCCGGCUGCUGGCCAGGCGGGGCCUGCUGAGAGCAGGUGUCCCCAUGACACGGGAGGGCGCCGUGUGCACCACGCUGCCCGCCUGUGCAAGUGUGCGAGGGUGCGCCUGUGUGUGUGGUGCAUGUGGGCAUGGGUCCCUGUGUCCGCAACCUCUGUUGUCACGGGGAACACACUGCAAGGUUGCAACAAUGCAAAGCGUCCUGGAGGGGCUGGGGGUGGAGCUGCGGGUCUGUGUCACGCGUGACUCGAGGAAGCCUGGAGGAGGUGAUGCUGAGGCCCGACCACCUCAGCUCCGGAACACGCCACGUGGGUUCUCCUUCCUGUGGAGUCCUGUGCAGCCAGGCAGAGGGAAAUGGACCUUUACUGUAAACUGGGCUCCCCGGAGCCUUAGUUUAUUGUCAAAUAUUAUCACAAAGACCUGCCUCAAAGAAGGUCCUUGUGGUGGUGGGGGGGGAUGCUCGGCUGAUGCUGCAGGUGUGGGCAGAGCCUGCUCGGCCAGCCGGGGGCUCCUGCGGAUGGCCCAGCGGGCGGGAUUUCAGGCGGUGUGUGUGGGGGGGUGUCUCCCUGUCCCUUGGGCCGGCCUUGGCCUCAGGGCAGAGCUGAGUCCCAGGCUUCCUGGGCGUGAAUUGGCUUUCUGCACACACUCCUCGAAGUUAUUGCAUAAAUGAGGGUCCCUUUCAGGUGGCACUUCAUCCUUGACGUUGACACGGAGAAACUAAGACGACCUUUUCUUUGCUUAUUUUGGGAAAAACCUCAGAGCCAAAGGCAGAGACCCCAGCACACAUGACGCUGAAUUCCUUCAGACAAGGCCCUGCUGGGAGGUAGAACUCUCUUGGUCCAGAAUCUCACUUCAAAUGAAUGGCUGCACUCAUGGCACGUGGAAGUCCUCAGGCUAG
Sus scrofa (pig) is the source of this 2920-nucleotide long non-coding RNA. RefSeq lists it as uncharacterized. The record is from RefSeq and is a predicted model, not a curated record. Lineage: Eukaryota; Metazoa; Chordata; Mammalia; Artiodactyla; Suidae.